Molecule: ribosomal RNA, 397 nt
Filed under: uncultured bacterium
Lineage: Bacteria
Description: partial 16S ribosomal RNA
Rfam family: Bacterial small subunit ribosomal RNA
Source: RNAcentral
AAUCUUGCGCAAUGGGCGAAAGCCUGACGCAGCCAUGCCGCGUGAAUGAUGAAGGUCUUAGGAUUGUAAAAUUCUUUCACCGGGCACGAUAGUGACGGUACCCGGCGACGAAGCCCCGGCUAACUCCGUCCCAGCAGCCGCGGUAAUACGAAGGGGGCUAGCGUUGCUCGGAAUUACUGGGCGUAAAUGGCGCGUAGGCGGAUCGUUAAGUCAGGGGUGAAAUCCCGGGGCUCAACCUCGGAAUUGCCCUUGAUACUGGCGAUCUUGAGUAUGAGAGAGGUAUGUGGAACUCCGAGUGUAGAGGUGAAAUUCGUAGAUAUUCGGAAGAACACCAGUGGCGAAGGCGACAUACUGGCUCAUUACUGACGCUGAGGCGCGAAAGCGUGGGGAGCAAACA